Molecule: unclassified non-coding RNA, 346 nt
Filed under: soil metagenome
Description: partial contains 5.8S ribosomal RNA, internal transcribed spacer 2, and large subunit ribosomal RNA
Rfam family: 5.8S ribosomal RNA (bases 1-121)
Source: RNAcentral
GAUGAAGAACGUAGCGAAAUGCGAUAAGUAAUGCGAAUUGCAGAAUUUCCGUGAGUCAUCGAAUCUUUGAACGCACAUUGCGCCCACUGGUAUUCCGGUGGGCAUGCCUGUUCGAGCGUCAUUAUCCUCCCUCAAACCCCGGGUUUGGUGUUGGACCGAAGUUGUGUGAACAACUGGUCUAAAAAACAAUGACGGCGUCCGUGGGACCCUCGGUGCAACGAGCUUUUAGGAGCACGCGCCGAGUUGCAAGGACCUUCCGGGCCGGUCUCCUUUUACUAUUUUACAAGGUUGACCUCGGAUCAGGUAGGAAUACUCGCUGAACUUAAGCAUAUCAAUAAGCGGAGGA